AGCCUUGGCUCACUGGUAGAGCAUCCGUUUUGCAUGCAGAAGGGGCCAGGUUCAAUCCCUGGCAUCUCUU
Non-coding RNA from Podarcis lilfordi (Lilford's wall lizard), 70 nucleotides. The record is from the annotation of a GenBank genome assembly. NCBI's taxonomy places the organism in Eukaryota, Metazoa, Chordata, Lepidosauria, Squamata, Lacertidae.